This 262-nucleotide small RNA is filed under the name Pongo abelii (Sumatran orangutan). Its description in RNAcentral is "processed transcript". Lineage: Eukaryota; Metazoa; Chordata; Mammalia; Primates; Hominidae. The record is from RNAcentral.
GGAACUCUGGCUGCCGAAAUCCGGGCCCUGCGGGAGGCCUACAUUCGAGACGGGGGCCGGGACCCCGGCGUGCUGGGCCAGAUAUGGCAGUUGCAGUUGGAGGCGUCUGCACUGGAGCUGCAGCGGUCGCAGACCCGCAGAGACUACCACCCUCACCAUCAGUAUCUUUGGUCUGUGAGCUGCAGGUAUGGCAGGGGCUGGCAUGGGCUAGGGCAGCACAGCCAAAGGCUUGGGUCUCACUUGGACUAUUUGACCACGAUCA